UCUCUUGUUUGUCCUAUAAAUAAUUAAAAAUAUUACAAAAUGAAAUCUUUAUUUAUAAUAAUGUGUCUUAGCACUUGCUAUACAGAAUAUUCAUUUGCAUCUCUGAGGAUUUCAGGUUGUUUAGAGUGGAGACAUUGGUACACCCUCCUAAUGCAAUUCCUGGUUCUUCUAAUGGGAGGGAAUGAAACUUCUGCUAGACUUUUG
This 204-nucleotide long non-coding RNA is filed under the name Jatropha curcas. RNAcentral's name for it is "long non-coding RNA (JCUR_LNC003450)". Lineage: Eukaryota; Viridiplantae; Streptophyta; Magnoliopsida; Malpighiales; Euphorbiaceae. The record is from RNAcentral.